This 484-nucleotide ribosomal RNA is filed under the name uncultured bacterium. RNAcentral's name for it is "partial 16S ribosomal RNA". It matches the Rfam family "Bacterial small subunit ribosomal RNA", at positions 30 to 507 of the family's 1533-position model. The record is from RNAcentral.
AUUGAACGCUGGCGGCAGGCCUAACACAUGCAAGUCGAGCGGAUGAAGGGAGCUUGCUCCUGGAUUCAGCGGCGGACGGGUGAGUAAUGCCUAGGAAUCUGCCUGGUAGUGGGGGAUAACGUCCGGAAACGGGCGCUAAUACCGCAUACGUCCUGAGGGAGAAAGUGGGGGAUCUUCGGACCUCACGCUAUCAGAUGAGCCUAGGUCGGAUUAGCUAGUUGGUGGGGUAAAGGCCUACCAAGGCGACGUUCCGUAACUGGUCUGAGAGGAUGAUCAGUCACACUGGAACUGAGACACGGUCCAGACUCCAACGGGAGGCAGCAGUGGGGAAUAUUGGACAAUGGGCGAAAGCCUGAUCCAGCCAUGCCGCGUGUGUGAAGAAGGUCUUCGGAUUGUAAAGCACUUUAAGUUGGGAGGAAGGGCAGUAAGUUAAUACCUUGCUGUUUUGACGUUACCAACAGAAUAAGCACCGGCUAACUUCGUG